UACAGAGGUCCCAAGCGUUGUUCGGAUUCACUGGGCUUAAAGGGUGCGUAGGCGGUCGGGUAAGUCUGAUGUGAAAUCUCACAGCUUAACUGUGAAACUGCAUUGGAUACUAUCCGGCUCGAGGAAUGGAGGGGAGACUGGAAUACUUGGUGUAGCAGUGAAAUGCGUAGAUAUCAAGUGGAACACCAGUGGCGAAGGCGAGUCUCUGGACAUUUCCUGACGCUGAGGCACGAAAGCCAGGGGAGCAAACGGG
RNAcentral lists this ribosomal RNA (253 nucleotides) under uncultured bacterium. RNAcentral describes it as "partial 16S ribosomal RNA". It matches the Rfam family "Bacterial small subunit ribosomal RNA", at positions 524 to 776 of the family's 1533-position model. The record is from RNAcentral.